This 61-nucleotide microRNA precursor is filed under the name Pristionchus pacificus. RNAcentral describes it as "microRNA ppc-mir-8279 precursor". The record is from miRBase by way of RNAcentral. Lineage: Eukaryota; Metazoa; Nematoda; Chromadorea; Rhabditida; Neodiplogasteridae.
AACCCGAUUUUCAUGGAUCUUUGUGUAUUAUGAAGUCCAAGAUUCAUGUCAAUCUGGUCUC